RNAcentral lists this ribosomal RNA (308 nucleotides) under uncultured Glomus. RNAcentral's name for it is "SSU rRNA". It matches the Rfam family "Eukaryotic small subunit ribosomal RNA", at positions 789 to 1092 of the family's 1831-position model. Lineage: Eukaryota; Fungi; Glomeromycota; Glomeromycetes; Glomerales; Glomeraceae. The record is from RNAcentral.
UCGCGCUUGAAUACAUUAGCAUGGAUAAUGAAUAGGACGUUUGGUUCUAUUUGUUGGUUUCUUAGGAUCGACGUAAUGAUUAAUAGGGAUAUUGGGGGCGAUUAGUAUUCAAUUGUCAGAGGUGAAAUUCUUGGAUUUAUUGAAGACUAACUACUGCGAAAAGCAUUUUGCCAAGGAUGUUUUCAUUAAUCAAGAACGAAAGUUAGGGGAUCGAAGACGAUCAGAUACCGUCGUAGUCUUAACCAUAAACUAUGCCGACUAGGGAUCGGAUGAUGUUAAUUUUUUAAUGACUCAUUCGGCGCCUUACG